RNAcentral lists this ribosomal RNA (444 nucleotides) under uncultured bacterium. Its description in RNAcentral is "partial 16S ribosomal RNA". It matches the Rfam family "Bacterial small subunit ribosomal RNA", at positions 354 to 795 of the family's 1533-position model. The record is from RNAcentral.
GUGAGGAAUAUUGGACAAUGGGCGCAAGCCUGAUCCAGCCAUGCCGCGUGCAGGAAGACGCAUCUAUGGUGUGUAAACUGCUUUUGUACGGGAAGAAACACUCCCUCGUGAGGGAGCUUGACGGUACCGUAAGAAUAAGGAUCGGCUAACUCCGUGCCAGCAGCCGCGGUAAUACGGAGGAUCCAAGCGUUAUCCGGAAUCAUUGGGUUUAAAGGGUCCGUAGGCGGUUUAAUAAGUCAGUGGUGAAAGCCCAUCGCUCAACGAUGGAACGGCCAUUGAUACUGUUAGACUUGAAUUACAAGGAAGUAACUAGAAUAUGUAGUGUAGCGGUGAAAUGCUUAGAUAUUACAUGGAAUACCAAUUGCGAAGGCAGGUUACUACUUGUGGAUUGACGCUGAUGGACGAAAGCGUGGGGAGCGAACAGGAUUAGAAACCCUUGUAGUC